RNAcentral lists this ribosomal RNA (507 nucleotides) under uncultured bacterium. Its description in RNAcentral is "partial 16S ribosomal RNA". It matches the Rfam family "Bacterial small subunit ribosomal RNA", at positions 28 to 507 of the family's 1533-position model. The record is from RNAcentral.
GACGAACGCUGGCGGCGUGCCUAAUACAUGCAAGUCGAACGCAUUUUCUUUCACCGUAGCUUGCUACACCGAAAGAAAAUGAGUGGCGAACGGGUGAGUAACACGUGGGUAACCUGCCCAUCAGCGGGGGAUAACACUUGGAAACAGGUGCUAAUACCGCAUAAUUCCAUUUACCGCAUGGUAGAUGGAUGAAAGGCGCUUUUGCGUCACUGAUGGAUGGACCUGCGGUGCAUUAGCUAGUUGGUGGGGUAACGGCCUACCAAGGCUGCGAUGCAUAGCCGACCUGAGAGGGUGAUCGGCCACACUGGGACUGAGACACGGCCCAGACUGCUACGGGAGGCAGCAGUAGGGAAUCUUCGGCAAUGGACGCAAGUCUGACCGAGCAACGCCGCGUGAGUGAAGAAGGUUUUCGGAUCGUAAAACUCUGUUGUUAGAGAAGAACAAGGAUGAGAGUGGAAAGUUCAUCCCUUGACGGUAUCUAACCAGAAAGCCACGGCUAACUACGUG